GUGGGUGUAUCUCAGAGGUAGAGCUCAUGCUUUACAUGCACAAGGUCCUGAGUUCAAUCCCCAGCACCUCCA
This 72-nucleotide transfer RNA is filed under the name Camelus bactrianus (Bactrian camel). It matches the Rfam family "tRNA". Rfam says of the family: Transfer RNA (tRNA) molecules are approximately 80 nucleotides in length. Their secondary structure includes four short double-helical elements and three loops (D, anti-codon, and T loops). The record is from Rfam by way of RNAcentral. RNAcentral also lists the same sequence under 1 other name. Lineage: Eukaryota; Metazoa; Chordata; Mammalia; Artiodactyla; Camelidae.